CAUUGGGGACAUUGGGGGACAUUGGGGGACAUUGGGGUCAUUGGGGACACUGGGGGACACCGGGGAACAUUGGGGACACUGGGGACAUUGGGGGACAUUGGGGGACAUUGGGGAUUUUGGGGGCAUUGGGGACAUUUGGGACAUUGGGGACACUGGGGACAUUGGGGUCAUUGGGGACAGUGGGGACAUUGGGGGCACUGGGGACAUUGAGGGACAUUGGAGACAUUUGGGACAGUGGGGACAUUGGGGGAUAUUGGGGACUUUGCGGGACAUUGGUGGACACUGAGGACAUUGGGGGCAUUGGGGACACUGGGGACAUUGGGGGCAUUGGGGACACUGGGGACAUUGGGGGCAUUGGGGACACUGGGGGACAUUGGGGACAUUGGGGGACAUGGGGGUCAUUGGGGACAUUGGGGGACAUUGGGAGACAUUGGGGACAUUGGGGGACAUUGGGGACAUUGGUGGACACUGAGGACAUUGGGGGACAGUGGGGGACAUUGGGGGACAUUUGAGACAUUGGGGGACACUGGGGACAUUGGGGACAGUGGGGGACAUGGGGGACAUUGGGGUCAUUGGGGACAUUGGGGACAUUGGGGACAUUGGGGACACCGGGGACAGAGGGGACAUCGGGGACACUGAGGACAUCGGGGGACACCAGGGAGGCCGUGAGCCCGUGGGGACAUUGGAGGAGCCUUGUGGGGACAUCUGAGGGGGGGUCCCAAAGCCCGUGGAGCCAUCGGGGGUGUCCCCGUGGUGUCCCCUCGGUGUCCCCCAGAGUCGUACCGGGACCGUGUCCAGUUCUCGCCCACGUCCAUCCGGUUCCAGUCGGUGACGCGGGAGGACAGCGGCAAGUACAUCUGCGAGGUGGUGGCCGAUGGCAGCCACAUCGCCAAGUCUGAGGUCAACCUCAUCGUCCAAGGUGAGGCCACCUGUCCCCAGCCCUGUCCCCUAUCCCCAGCCCUGUCCCCAGCCUUGUCCCCUGUCCCCAGCCCUGUCCCUGUCCUUGUCCCCGUCCUUGUCACCCAUCCCUGGGGUGGCGCUGGGUGGUGCUGUCACUGUCCCUGUCACUGUCCCUGUGCCGUGUCACGGUGCCACCCCCGUCCUGUCCUGUGUCCUGGUGCCAACCCUGUCCCGUGUUGCAGUGCCACCCCCAUCCCUCUCCCAUGUCACAGUGCCACCCCUCUCCCUGUCCCUGGGGUGACUCUGGGCAGUGCCACCCCUGUCCCCGUCCCGUGUCCCGGUGCCACCCCUGUCCAUGUUCCUGGGGUGACUCCGGGCAGUGCCACCCCCAUCCUGUCCCGUGUCCUGGUGCCACCCCUGUCCCUGUCCCUGUCCCAGUGCCACCCCCAUCCUGUCCCGUGUCCCAGUGCCACCCCUGUCCUGUGUCUCAGUGCCACCCCUGUCCCUGUCCCUGUCCCAGUGCCACCCCUGUCCCUGUCCCUGUCCCAGUGCCACCCCCAUCCUGUCCCGUGUCCCAGUGCCACCCCCAUCCUGUCCUGUGUCCCAGUGCCACCCCUGUCCCUGUCCCGUGUCCCGGUGCCACCCCUGUCCUGUGUCCCAGUGCCACCCCUGUCCUGUCCCCUGUCCCGGUGCCACCCCGUGUGCCCGCAGUGCC
This is a long non-coding RNA of Chloebia gouldiae (Gouldian finch), 1615 nucleotides long. NCBI's taxonomy places the organism in Eukaryota, Metazoa, Chordata, Aves, Passeriformes, Passeridae. The record is from Ensembl.